Molecule: transfer RNA, 75 nt
Filed under: Candidatus Woesearchaeota archaeon
Lineage: Archaea; Nanobdellati; Candidatus Woesearchaeota
Description: tRNA-Lys
Rfam family: tRNA
About the family: Transfer RNA (tRNA) molecules are approximately 80 nucleotides in length.
Source: RNAcentral
GGGCUCGUAGCGCAGUCUGGUUAGCGCACAUGGCUCUUAACCAUGGGGUCGGGGGUUCAAAUCCCCUCGGGCUCA